RNAcentral lists this transfer RNA (67 nucleotides) under Ophioleila elegans. RNAcentral describes it as "tRNA-Pro". Lineage: Eukaryota; Metazoa; Echinodermata; Ophiuroidea; Amphilepidida; Hemieuryalidae. The record is from RNAcentral.
AAGGGGAUAGUUUAAGUAAAACUUAGGCUUUGGGUGUCUAAGAUGUCAAAUUUUUUGGCUCUUCUUA